UCAGGCACGUGCACAGGUAGGGCUCAACCUGUGCAGAGCACAUGCCCUUUUUCCCCUUACACUCCGAAGUGCCCUUUUUUUAUGGUGUUUUUUUUUUCUUCUUUUUUUUCGCUCUCAAUAAAUCAGUGCUAUUAAUCACCCUUUACGUCUGUCUGUUUUACAAAUAUUUAGCCAAUGAAACAUUAAAUAGAGCUCGUGACUAAAAUCUUGUUGGAUCCGCGAUCCGCUCAAACUGUCAGUAAAACUUCAUAACUCCACCCCCUCUAUCUCGAUUGAAUGAACUGAAGUUCAACAGCAGCAGUGUUGCCAAGUAUGCGGUUUGAAGCGACCUCAACAACAUGAUAUUUAGCCCCUGGAAUGCAAAUUUACCAGGGGAACCCGCCAAAAAAUGUGUAUAUUUACCACCUGGAACGUGAUUUUUAAUGGGGGACCCCCCCCCCACGAAACGCGAUUGGGCUAGUUUUGUGCCAUUUUUGUGUAGCAAUUUGGCGGGUUUUGUUGUGAAAACCUGGCAACCCUGGCCUGCACAGCAGCUGAACGAAGUCUUGCCAUGGUAAAGAUCUUGUUGUUUGAGAAAAGUGUAUUGAAUAGGAGACCUUCAAGAGACCAACAUCCCUGGUCCUCCACAGUCGGCCUAUCAAGUUUUGUCAGGUAUGCAGAUACAUGUUGGAUGUGCUAUAGUAACGGCAUGGCUAUAGUUUCUUAUAAUCUCCUAUUUUGACUGGAAUUGUGUUAGACAUAAUUAUUUAAAUUAUAUUUAAAAAAUAUGCAAAAAUACUUGACUCAUUGCUUUACCUUCCCCUCUUCUCAAUGACACACAUAAACAUGUUAACCAAAUAAUACAAAAUAGCUAAAAAAAAAAAAAAAAAAAAAAUCUUCAGACAUAUUUUCAUUGAACUUUGUGUAGAGGGACAUUUUUUAUUUUUUAUUUAUUUAUUUAUUUGAACAGGGACACUGUAAAAUAUACAUUAACCUUAGAAAGGAGAGAUGCAUUAUACCAGGUUGUAGCACUUAUGCUAAUUUCCACCUGUAGUCCCUGGGCAGGCUGAUGACAAAUAGAUACACAUGUUAAUAAUACAUUUACCCCAAAACAGCAUUAAAAUUACCACACCCUUCAUUCAUUCCUCAGCAUUCAUUUACAAAUACACUCACACAUACACAUCAAUUACAAUACAUUAUGUGAACAUGUUUGUUUAAGAAGAAGCCAUUUUUUGGCCCGAUGUGAAAAAGUGUUAAAAUUUACACAUGUGGUCAACUCUAUUGGCAACUUGUUCCACUGUCUGAUGGCCACACUUGAGAAAGCUGAGUUGCCGAAUGCUGUUUUACACUGAGGAAUCCUACACUCGCCCCGAACAGUCGACCGAGUGACUCGAGAUGUAAUUUCUGAACUCAGUGAGAUGAACUUUUUUAAUGGAGGAGCUGCAGUACCAUUUAUUAUCUUGAACAAAAGACAGAGAUUUGAAUAUAUAAUUAUGUUUUCAAAACUUAAUAUACUAUGUUUUUUAAGAAUAUGACAGUGAUGAAAUAGCCGAGAUUUCUUGUCAUGAACCUUAAGAGAACUUUUAUACAAUGAUUCCAGGGGCCUUAAUGCUGUUUUACAUGCCUGUGACCAACUCGUCAUGCAGUAACGAAAGUGCGGAAUUAUCAUCGCAUUUAGAUAUAAAUUAGAUGCAUCUAUAGUCAGAGAGUUCUUAAUAUAUCUAAAAUGUGCUAUGUUUAAAAAACGUGUUACUUAUCUUUUUAAUAUGUUUUUUAAAUUUAAAUUUGGGUCAAGAAUGACUCCUAAAUUUUUAAUUUGGUCAACCCUUGAGAUUUCCUGACCUUCAAUUAUGAUUUUUGGUUCAGUUUUACAUACCGAGAACUUACGGCGGUUUGUAAAAAACAUAGGAACCGUUUUGUCAACAUUCAAAGUUAAAUGAUAGUUUUUCAGUCAAAUGGAAAUCCCAGUGGAUCCCCAGUGGAUCACAGUGAAGUCAUAAACAUCUUCAAGAUUUCUGUUGUAAUUAGGUUUAAAGAAGCCCUGAAACCUUAUAUAUCUAUAUUAUCUAUAUUAUUAUUAUGAUUGUUAUUAAUAGGAAAUAAAUCUAAAGUUUUUGAGACUAUUAUUUUGUAUCAUUUAAUAUGUCAUUAAGAUGUGACCAAUUAAAAAAAAGGGGGGGG
Cyprinus carpio carpio is the source of this 2160-nucleotide long non-coding RNA. NCBI's taxonomy places the organism in Eukaryota, Metazoa, Chordata, Actinopteri, Cypriniformes, Cyprinidae. The record is from Ensembl.